CGGCGGACGGGUGAGUAAUGUCUGGGAAACUGCCCGAUGGAGGGGGAUAACUACUGGAAACGGUAGCUAAUACCGCAUAACGUCGCAAGACCAAAGAGGGGACCUUAGGGCCUCUUGCCAUCGGAUGUGCCCAGAUGGGAUUAGCUAGUAGGUGGGUAACGGCUCACCUAGGCGACGAUCCCUAGCUGGUCUGAGAGGAUGACCAGCCACACUGGAACUGAGACACGGUCCAG
RNAcentral lists this ribosomal RNA (233 nucleotides) under uncultured bacterium. Its description in RNAcentral is "partial 16S ribosomal RNA". It matches the Rfam family "Bacterial small subunit ribosomal RNA", at positions 96 to 334 of the family's 1533-position model. The record is from RNAcentral.